UAAGACGAACCGUGCGAACGUUGUUCGGAUUCACUGGGCUUAAAGGGCGCGUAGGCGGGCACGCGAGUCGGGGGUGAAAUCUUUCGGCCCAACCGGAAAAGGGCCCCCGAUACUGUGUGCCUGGAGGGGGGUAGGGGCGGGCGGAACUUCCGGUGGAGCGGUGAAAUGCGUAGAUAUCGGAAGGAACGCCGGUGGCGAAAGCGGCCCGCUGGACCCCAUCUGACGCUGAGGCGCGAAAGCCAGGGGAGCGAACGGGAUUAGAUACCCCGGUAGUCCUGGCCCUAAACGAUGGGUACUAGGUAGUGGGCUUGACAUGGGCUCCCUGCCGAAGCCAAAGUGCUAAGUACCCCGCCUGGGGAGUAUGGUCGCAAGGCUG
Molecule: ribosomal RNA, 376 nt
Filed under: uncultured bacterium
Lineage: Bacteria
Description: bacterial SSU rRNA
Rfam family: Bacterial small subunit ribosomal RNA
Source: RNAcentral